RNAcentral lists this transfer RNA (72 nucleotides) under Ophiostoma piliferum. RNAcentral describes it as "tRNA-Phe". It matches the Rfam family "tRNA". From Rfam's summary of the family: Transfer RNA (tRNA) molecules are approximately 80 nucleotides in length. Their secondary structure includes four short double-helical elements and three loops (D, anti-codon, and T loops). Further hydrogen bonds mediate the characteristic L-shaped molecular structure. tRNAs have two regions of fundamental functional importance: the anti-codon, which is responsible for specific mRNA codon recognition, and the 3' end, to which the tRNAs corresponding amino acid is attached (by aminoacyl-tRNA synthetases). tRNAs cope with the degeneracy of the genetic code in two manners: having more than one tRNA (with a specific anti-codon) for a particular amino acid; and 'wobble' base-pairing, i.e. permitting non-standard base-pairing at the 3rd anti-codon position. The record is from RNAcentral. Lineage: Eukaryota; Fungi; Ascomycota; Sordariomycetes; Ophiostomatales; Ophiostomataceae.
GCCUGAGAAGCUCAAUGGUUGAGCAGAGUUUUGAAGAAGCUUUUGUUGUAAGUUCGAAUCUUACCUUGGGCA